AUACGGAGGGCGCAAGCGUUGUUCGGAAUCAUUGGGCGUAAAGCGCGCGUAGGCGGCUUGGAAAGUCGGGUGUGAAAUCCCGGGGCUCAACCCCGGAACUGCACUCGAAACUUCCUAGCUAGAGUCUCGGAGAGGUAGGCGGAAUUCCCGGUGUAGAGGUGAAAUUCGUAGAUAUCGGGAGGAACACCAGUGGCGAAGGCGGCCUACUGGACGAUGACUGACGCUGAGGUGCGAAAGCAUGGGGAGCAAACAGGAUUAGAAACCCGGGUAGUCC
RNAcentral lists this ribosomal RNA (274 nucleotides) under uncultured bacterium. RNAcentral describes it as "partial 16S ribosomal RNA". It matches the Rfam family "Bacterial small subunit ribosomal RNA", at positions 523 to 796 of the family's 1533-position model. The record is from RNAcentral.